AUCAGCUUGUUGGUGAGGUAAUGGCUCACCAAGGCGUCGACGGGUAGCCGGCCUGAGAGGGUGACCGGCCACACUGGGACUGAGACACGGCCCAGACUCCUACGGGAGGCAGCAGUGGGGAAUAUUGCACAAUGGGCGGAAGCCUGAUGCAGCAACGCCGCGUGAGGGAUGACGGCCUUCGGGUUGUAAACCUCUUUUAGCAGGGAAGAAGCGAAAGUGACGGUACCUGCAGAAAAAGCGCCGGCUAACUACGUGCCAGCAGCCGCGGUAAUACGUAGGGCGCAAGCGUUAUCCGGAAUUAUUGGGCGUAAAGAGCUCGUAGGCGGUUUGUCGCGUCUGCUGUGAAAUCCCGAGGCUCAACCUCGGGCCUGCAGUGGGUACGGGCAGACUAGAGUGCGGUAGGGGAGAUUGGAAUUCCUGGUGUAGCGGUGGAAUGCGCAGAUAUCAGGAGGAACACCGAUGGCGAAGGCAGAUCUCUGGGCCGUAACUGACGCUGAGGAGCGAAAGGGUGGGGAGCAAACAGGCUUAGAUACCCUGGUAGUCCACCCCGUAAACGUUGGGAACUAGUUGUGGGGUCCAUUCCACGGAUUCCGUGACGCAGCUAACGCAUUAAGUUCCCCGCCUGGGGAGUACGGCCGCAAGGCUAAAACUCAAAGGAAUUGACGGGGACCCGCACAAGCGGCGGAGCAUGCGGAUUAAUUCGAUGCAACGCGAAGAACCUUACCAAGGCUUGACAUAUACGAGAACGGGCCAGAAAUGGUCAACUCUUUGGACACUCGUAAACAGGUGGUGCAUGGUUGUCGUCAGCUCGUGUCGUGAGAUGUUGGGUUAAGUCCCGCAACGAGCGCAACCCUCGUUCUAUGUUGCCAGCACGUAAUGGUGGGAACUCAUGGGAUACUGCCGGGGUCAACUCGGAGGAAGGUGGGGAUGACGUCAAAUCAUCAUGCCCCUUAUGUCUUGGGCUUCACGCAUGCUACAAUGGCCGGUACAAAGGGCUGCAAUACCGUGAGGUGGAGCGAAUCCCAAAAAGCCGGUCCCAGUUCGGAUUGAGGUCUGCAACUCGACCUCAUGAAGUCGGAGUCGCUAGUAAUCGCAGAUCAGCAACGCUGCGGUGAAUACGUUCCCGGGUCUUGUACACACCGCCCGUCAAGUCAUGAAAGUCGGUAACACCUGAAGCCGGUGGCCUAACCCUUGUGGAGGGAGCCGUCGAAGUGAUAGUA
This 1220-nucleotide ribosomal RNA is filed under the name Microbacterium paraoxydans. RNAcentral's name for it is "bacterial SSU rRNA". It matches the Rfam family "Bacterial small subunit ribosomal RNA", at positions 240 to 1470 of the family's 1533-position model. The record is from RNAcentral. Lineage: Bacteria; Bacillati; Actinomycetota; Actinomycetes; Micrococcales; Microbacteriaceae.